UGGUCCCAGCUGCAGAUUUGUUUGUCC
RNAcentral lists this non-coding RNA (27 nucleotides) under Mus musculus (house mouse). Lineage: Eukaryota; Metazoa; Chordata; Mammalia; Rodentia; Muridae. The record is from RNAcentral.